This 301-nucleotide ribosomal RNA is filed under the name uncultured bacterium. Its description in RNAcentral is "partial 16S ribosomal RNA". It matches the Rfam family "Bacterial small subunit ribosomal RNA", at positions 509 to 807 of the family's 1533-position model. The record is from RNAcentral.
CAGUAGCCACGGGAAUACGUAGGUGGCAAGCGUUGUCCGGAAUUAUUGGGCGUAAAGCGCGCGCAGGUGGUUUAAUAAGUCUGAUGUGAAAGCCCACGGCUCAACCGUGGAGGGUCAUUGGAAACUGUUAAACUUGAGUGCAGGAGAGAAAAGUGGAAUUCCUAGUGUAGCGGUGAAAUGCGUAGAGAUUAGGAGGAACACCAGUGGCGAAGGCGGCUUUUUGGCCUGUAACUGACACUGAGGCGCGUAAGCGUGGGGAGCAAACAGGAUUAGAUACCCGUGUAGUCCCUGUCUCUUAUAC